RNAcentral lists this transfer RNA (76 nucleotides) under compost metagenome. RNAcentral describes it as "tRNA-Phe". It matches the Rfam family "tRNA". From Rfam's summary of the family: Transfer RNA (tRNA) molecules are approximately 80 nucleotides in length. Their secondary structure includes four short double-helical elements and three loops (D, anti-codon, and T loops). The record is from RNAcentral.
CGAAGGAUAGCAAAGAGGGUCUAUGAGGAGGAUUGAAACCCCUCAGAUCUCGGUUCGUUACCGGGUCCUUCGGCCA